RNAcentral lists this long non-coding RNA (835 nucleotides) under Zonotrichia albicollis (white-throated sparrow). RNAcentral's name for it is "lncRNA (ENSZALG00000003434.1)". Lineage: Eukaryota; Metazoa; Chordata; Aves; Passeriformes; Passerellidae. The record is from RNAcentral.
CAUUAGCAUCAUCCCUUUGGUUUCCUUAGCAACUGAGACAAUCAAUUCUAUGAUAGUUUUAUCUGCACAGAAAAGCACCAGCUGCCAGAGUUAUGGACAGAAGUACAUAAAGCAGGAAUCUAUUCUGAAAUGGGAAGGUGGCUCCUGUUUCUGAGAAGACGAGCAGGGUUUUUAAGAAGUUGGCAUUUGCACUAGACCAGAGGGGAAAAAAGACAACAGUCAGAUCAGUUCUGCUGGCCAUGACACAAAGUGGAAAUGGGUGUCCCUAAUUAUGGAAUUCAAAGAAUCCAAGUUCUCCACAGCAGCUGCUUUCACAAACUCAAGAUGUGAAGAUUUAAGGACUGUACCAUCUGGAGUGAUCUUCAGUCUCAGCCAUUUCUUUAGCUCCAACUCUUUAGUUCAUUCUUGGAGCUCCAGAAGUGCAGAGCACUUGGACUGUGGGACUUCUGUGCCUCUGUCAAUGAUCACAUACAGAUGGUAUGAAAACACAGAGAUCCAGCGGGUUCCCAUGGCAUUGAGACAAAAUUACGUGGAGUGGAGAAUUCCUUCUGAGAGACUAAAAAACAUGGAGAUGUUAUGGAUGAACGAGGCCAGACUUUCUUCAGAGGAAAAGGCUCUUGUUUAUUUAAAAAGAGCUACAGGAGAUGGAAGGCCUGAGAUAGGCUCAGACCCCCAUGCAACAAGUAAAAAAACCCAAAAACAGUGUGUCUACCCCACAUGCACACUGGGUUCUCCAGGAAGCAUUCCUGUUUUGAGGAACUCAAGUUCCCCAAAAGAGCUCCAAACUCCACCGAACUCCCAUUUUUACAACGCCCUUUGGGUCCAGGAUUGGUGA